Molecule: ribosomal RNA, 245 nt
Filed under: uncultured Porphyromonadaceae bacterium
Lineage: Bacteria; Pseudomonadati; Bacteroidota; Bacteroidia; Bacteroidales; Porphyromonadaceae
Description: partial 16S ribosomal RNA
Rfam family: Bacterial small subunit ribosomal RNA
Source: RNAcentral
UACGGAGGAUGCGAGCGUUAUCCGGAUUUAUUGGGUUUAAAGGGUGCGUAGGCGGAAGGUUAAGUCAGCGGUCAAAUGUCGGUGCUCAACACCGGCCUGCCGUUGAAACUGGUCUUCUUGAGUGAGCGAGAAGUAUGCGGAAUGCGUGGUGUAGCGGUGAAAUGCAUAGAUAUCACGCAGAACUCCGAUUGCGAAGGCAGCAUACCGGCGCUCAACUGACGCUGAGGCACGAAAGCGUGGGGAUC